GUCUGACACUGACACUCACACACACACACUGCACAUCCCCCAGCCACACUGGGCUUCUCUCCAUCCCUCAGGCAGUGUGCAGGUACCUGCUGCUUCCUCUGCCCAGGGACCCCUCCCAUUACCUGACCAACAACCUACCCAGAAGCACCCCCUCCCGGCCACCAGCCAGAGAAGAUCCAUACCCAAUGCCAAGCUGGGGAGACGCAGGUGCCUUCCUCCAGUGACCACAGCCCACCAGUCCCAGUGGAGGCCCCAAGAGGAAACAGAGGCAGCACCCUGGCCCUGCUGCCAUCCCGAGAGGCCCAGGCUCCCAGAAAGCUCUGCCUGGGGUAGGGCACAGGGACACAGUCAACAUAGAGGAUGGCGGAAGACAGAACUUCCAGAGGCUACAGCAACCACUGUCCCACUGCACCACCACUUCCUGGACUAGGAAGCCCCAUCUCAUCUGACCCUGCAUGAACCUCUAGAUUGGCGCGUGGGUCCUUCCAGCAGCAACAGCCACCCAGCAGAGAGCAGCCCUGGGGCACAAGUUGGUGCUUCCCGACAGGGAACGGAAGGAAGAAGGCCCCAGCGGAGAAGUCCACUGUGGAUGGGGACUUGUGAGUCUACACUGGCUACAGAUCCAUUUUGGAACUGAGAACCAAGGCAGCCUUUGGGGAGGAGGGAGGCUGACAACUCCUUGGCCAGCUGAGAAAGUUGCACUUUGAAAUCCCACCACCAGCAGCCAGGUGCAGCCCCUGAGCUACUGUGUCCCCACUGGACACCUACCCCACCCAACCCAUCCCCCCGGCAAUCUGUCGGCCUGAAGAGAAGCAAUUGACUAAAAAACAAUAGAGGAGGGCCUGGCAUGGUAGCCUAGCAGCUGAAGUCCUCGCCUUGCAUACACCGGGAUCCU
Molecule: long non-coding RNA, 895 nt
Organism: Ochotona curzoniae (black-lipped pika)
Lineage: Eukaryota; Metazoa; Chordata; Mammalia; Lagomorpha; Ochotonidae
Exons: 3
Source: RefSeq, a predicted model, not a curated record